This 551-nucleotide ribosomal RNA is filed under the name Tephritis arsenii. RNAcentral describes it as "partial large subunit ribosomal RNA". The stretch from base 404 to 551 matches the Rfam family "Bacterial large subunit ribosomal RNA", at positions 2473 to 2620 of the family's 2925-position model. Lineage: Eukaryota; Metazoa; Arthropoda; Insecta; Diptera; Tephritidae. The record is from RNAcentral.
CAAAAACAUGUCUUUUUGAGUUAUUUUUAAAGUCUAACCUGCCCAAUGAAUUAUUUUUAAUGGCCGCAGUAAUUUGACUGUGCAAAGGUAGCAUAAUAAUUAGUCUUUUAAUUGAAGGCUUGUAUGAAUGGUUGGACGAAGUAUAAUCUGUUUCAUUUAAAUUUAUUAUAGAAUUUUAUAUUUUAGUAAAAAAGCUAAAAUUUUUUUAAAAGACGAGAAGACCCUAUAAAUCUUUAUAAUUUAUAUUUAAUUUUUAUUUUUUUGAUUUGGUUUAUUUUAAUAAUUUAGAUUAUUUUAUUGGGGUGAUAUUAAAAUUUAAAUAACUUUUAAUUUUUUUUAUUUUGACAUUAAUUUAUGAUUUAUUGAUCCAUUAAUAAUGAUUAUAAGAAUAAGUUACUUUAGGGAUAACAGCGUAAUUUUUUUGGAAAGUUCUUAUUGAUAAAAAAGUUUGCGACCUCGAUGUUGGAUUAAGAAAUAUUUUUAGGUGUAGUUGCUUAAAUAAUAAGUCUGUUCGACUUUUAAAUUCUUACAUGAUCUGAGUUCAAACCGGA